Molecule: long non-coding RNA, 1949 nt
Organism: Apteryx rowi (Okarito brown kiwi)
Lineage: Eukaryota; Metazoa; Chordata; Aves; Apterygiformes; Apterygidae
Source: Ensembl
AUGAAUAAAUUGUAUUUUAUAUUGACUCUUGUGCUUGAACACUUCAUCUCUUACACUUCUGACAAGCACUUGAGCUUCUCCCCGCAGAUACCAAGUAUUUGUAUGUAUUUAGAUCAUGUCUGUACCAAUGUCUGCUUUACAGGACAGAGCUGGUGUGAAGGCCAGUGCAAUUACACUAGCCCCACCUGCGAAGGCACCUGCUGUUCCAACUAUCUCCUUGCAGGAGCACUAACAUGGGCUUGGCUGGGUACUGCCAAUACUAAGCCGCUCGUCUUCAUAAGAUUCUUUGCCAAUCCAAGAUUCUUUGCCAGUACUGAAAAGCAGAGCCUCACACAUGUGAUGCCUACCUAUAAGUCCCAGUUAAAAAUAGCCUACACUGCCAGCAGGCCCAGGCACUGCUGCAGUAGCCAGAGGGGGGCUGUGUACGGAGGAUCCUCUAGGGUCGGCUGUAUGGAGCGAGGAAUAGGAGCACAGUCACACCAACCUCCCUGCAUCUUGUGGUGCCUCUGUAGGCCACCUCAGUGGUAGGAGUAACAAAGCACAGAGCAACCUGAACACGGGAAGAAUCUUUGUCAUGGUUGUCUUCCUGUUUUUCAUUAUUUGUCUCUAGUCCUAUUAGCUUAGUCACUGUUGCUUGAAUUUUUAAUAGUCAUAAUUAUAUAAAUUGACUGAUUUCAGGUCAGCUGCUGCAGGAAACAAAUUCAAAGAUUCAUUAAGGAGAAGAAGCUAGAAGAUGCUUAAAGCAGAGUAUUCUUCAGACUAUUUAAAAACAGAUUAUUAAUUUUUUUUAAAGUCAGUGUAGCCUUAGCAGGCUCUUAAAUAAGGACACAUUUUGUAUUUGCCUCUGUAAUUUGUAUCAUGUUCAUUUCCAAGGGCCAACUCAAACUAUUCGCCUUGCUUUCCCAAUUAAAUAAGGUUCUUUCCAUUUCAGUCAUCCUACAAGUAAUUGGAAGUCUAGAAGCUGUAUUAUGCUUGUAUCCUUUCAGCCUUAUUGCUAUCAGAUCAUACAUGCACAGACUUCAUUAGGGCAUAAUGUAGCCUUAUGCUGCUUGUCAGUAUUAUGAGCUGGUAUCAACAAAGUAUUGUUUAGGGAUCAUGCACUGAAGGUUAAUAUGCAACAGUAGGUGCUUAACAAUGGAUAGAAAGGGAAAGUACUUGCCUUUACAUAUUUACAGCAUCAGUUGUACAUAACAAACUUGUAUAUUUAACAUUAGUUAGUAUUUAAUAUUAGUUACUUCUGUGCUUAAGUAAACCCAUCUGACAAAAAUAUAAGCUUGUAAUGAUUUAAUCUUCAAUUAUGUUUACACAACCACUAACAGUGAUUCAGGCUUGUGACUCUUGAUAUCAGAGAAUUAGACUAAUUUACCUUUGCAAUACAGGAGAGUAUGAACACCAUUCUUGAAGCAACAUGCUGAGAUAAUCUCACUAUUGACACCUUUCUUCACUUGUUCUGUGUAGAUGUACAGAACCCACAGAUUUGUUACACAAUAUUCAUGCAUUUUCAGAAAAUCAAAGGUGUAAUCUUUAGCAUUCAUGAUUUUAUAUGACCGUUUUUUAAAUAUUAAGAAUAACAAAAAAAUCACACAGUAGCACAAAAAUAUAUUCUGUAGAGUCUAACCGAAAUACAUUUUCUUUUAUUUUUUUUUCCUUAAACAGAAGUUGUUUUGCUCAGGAAGAUCAAUAACUUAAAUUUAAAGAAAGCUUUUUCUAUAACUGUGCUGGCUUAUUUCUCAGUGCCUGGGUGCAGCUGUACAGUUAUAGGUGGUGUGAUUCCGUCACACCAUUAUCUAGCACUUUAAAAGACAGUAUCUAUAUAUAAAAAAAAUGGAAUAUUGACUAUCACUAUAUACAACCAGGGCUUGAAGCACCAGCUAGUUGGAGAUGGACAGAACUAAAAGACCAUCAAGUAGCUAAAUAAAUCUUGUUGAUUACACUUUAAAACUUUUGCA